This is a long non-coding RNA of Metopolophium dirhodum (rose-grain aphid), 1945 nucleotides long. RefSeq lists it as uncharacterized. The transcript has 3 exons. The record is from RefSeq and is a predicted model, not a curated record. Lineage: Eukaryota; Metazoa; Arthropoda; Insecta; Hemiptera; Aphididae.
CUCCCAAACAAGAGCAAUUAAGUAUUUGCGUAAGAUAUCCCCAUGGAAUGGACAUCUAUGAACGAUUUUUAGGAUUUGUUGACGUAUCAGAAAAGCAAACUGCAGACGCUUUGGUUUUAAAAUUAGUUGAAUUUUUAAAUACAUCUAAAUUAGAUAAAAUUCCCAUCAUAGGACAGGCAUAAUGUCAUGUCAGGUCACAUAGGUGUUCAAGCAAAAUUGAAAAUAGUUCACCCUCCAGCCCAAUGUGCAGUGUAUGUACAUUGUAUGGCACAUAAGAUUAAUUUAGUAGUUAUUGACAUGUGCAAGCACUUAAAAGAUGCUAGAAACUUAUUUAAUGCUUAAGAGGCACUGUUCAUUUCUCUCAUCCAACAAGAAAUGUGAAGCUUACUGAUUUACAACUUAAAUUGAAUAUGAAAAAGACAACACUCUCUCUGUUAAGUGACACUCGUUGGAUUUGUCGAUAUAAAAGCUGAGACGCAGUGAGAAAAAAUUUUAAUAGCAUAGCUCAAGUUUUAAAUGAUGAAAUGUAUGAUCAACAAAGUAAAUGUGUUGCCCAAGCAAUUGUAUUAUUUCAUUUUCUACAAUAUCAAAUUUUAAAUUUGAAGCCUAUUUAUUCAUUCUUCAUGAUAUUCUAAAAGUUGUUAAUAUAUUAAGUAUUCAACUUAAGUCAAAAUUAGCUACACUUGGAAAUUAUGCAAAUUUGACUAAAGGAGUAAUUGAUACAUUACAAAGUUAUCGUUUUUCUAUUCACUAGUGAACUGUGGGAAAAAAUGGUUGUAUUUUCAAAAGACAAUGGAAUUGAAAUUAAUUUUCCUUUUCAAGGUACCUAGAGUAUAUUAUAUUAUACUGUUAAUUAAUUAAAUAUUUAAAAUUCAAUAUGAUAAUAUCUUUUUUUUUAUAUUUAACUUAGGCGGCUUUAAAAGACAGAGAAGAGAGUCCACUAAUCUAAAAAAUUAUGUGGUUAUGUCAUCAACUUCAGCUGAAAAUAAUCACCUAAGUGAUAAUACAAGUACCAUUACAUUAGAACCAAAAGAAUAUUGGAAGAUACAUGCUUUUUAUCCAGUAAUAGAUACAAUAAUAUGUCAAAUGAAAGAAAGAUUUUCUGAAGAGAGCAUUCAAAUUGCAACGUGUGUGAUAACUUGUUAAAAUUAGACUUCGAAAGGGAUCAUCAUUACUUAUAAAUCGAUAUAAGGUUUUUUUUAUAUAUAAUUAAUGUUUUUCAAGUACCUAUAUCAUUCAAAAAUUGGCUGAAGCCCCCACAAUUGUUUAACUCUAAUUGCACCUAUGUUUACACAGCAAAUCAGGGAACAUUUUCAAUUUUUUUUGUCCGAGCGCAGCGCAGCAAGCGAGUGCCAACGCUAACAGAUUAUGUGCUUUUUAUUUUUUAACAACUUUGUUUAAUUCCGAGGCCUACCCAAGGUGGUUUUACACAACAAAUCAGAGCAUAUUUUCGAUUUUUUUUGUUAAAAAGCGUAAAAAAAAAUUAAAAUUUGUUAUAGCACUGCACGUUGCAGUCAAGUACUCAAGUUGCAUUGCACGCAUGUGUAUGAACGUAAGAUCGCAAACUUUGGAAAGCUAUAACUUCUAAAAUGAUAGUUUCCGGUAAAAAAAUGUACACCAUCGUUUUAAGCAUAAAAAACAUUUAAAAAUCGUGAGGGGCUAACCUGGUGAAGUGCAUUUGUUCCAAAGUAUUUAUAUUGUUUUGACAAUGGUUAAACUUUUUGAUCAUAAUUAAAAAAUAAUCCUACAUUGGUGAAUUUUGUAACAGAAAAAAUUAAAUUUUCUUCAUGUCUAAAAAAAAAUAGGUCUCACAAUUUAUUAAUUUGUUGUGCCCCCUCGGCCACCAAAGUCUGAAUACGCCUAUGGUAUCUACUAUAAAGUAUUUAUCAAUAUCAUAGGCGUUACAAUAUUAUUAUAUUUAUUAUUUUAAGUACUUACAAUAAAU